CAGGAACAACAUCUACAGAUAGUGUGUGUGCUGACUGUACUGGUGAAACCUAUUCAGAUGGAUCAUUUACAUCCUGCCAGACACACACCGAGUGAGUUCACAUAUGUUUACAUACAUCAAAAGUGUGUAAAUCCUUAGGUCUUCAAGAACUUAGACCAGGAACUAAUUUGUCCAAUUCUGAAUGUGGACCACAAUCCUCAAGAAUACAAAGUGGUAUCAUCAUUGGUGUUGUUGUGGCAUCAGUCCUAAUAGCUCCUGUAAUAAUAAUAAUAAGAAUUAUAAUUCUAAGGAUGAUAAAAAGUCCAACAACAGUGACUUUUUCUCCAGUGACAGUAAAUGCUGUAGAGGCAUCAUCAGAUUUAGAGGAAACACCAAGCAAUGUAGUACAAUGAAACAGAAGAAAGUACAGCAUCUUGCAGGUGCUGGUUUUGUAAAUGAUUCAAGCUCUGACCACACUCAUCAUUACAAAUGCUACCUGAGGUACGUCCAGAGUCUGUACACUGUGGUAAAUGUGAUCAACAUUCAAAUGUUUCUUGAAGUUGGUUUCUGGCAUAUUACUGUUGCUAAGUAGGAUUUUAUGAGGGUUGCCAAAGUGGAGUAAAACACUGUAUUUGUCAGUAAAACACUGUAUUUGUCAGUGUUUUAAGUGCACUAGUAUCUAAAAGUAUUUAGCAUAAUUGGGGACACAUAUGGCGCGGGAAGAAGUCAAAGGAUCCAAUUCAGACUAUUUUUUGUGAAAUCCAGAUUAAAUAAAGGGCUUUAUGUAUCAAAUCUGUAGGCGAUAGUGGGCUAAAUCAAUGAGAAAUAUAGCUGAAAUGUGCAGGCUUUGUCAUGACCUCUGUUUUCGGUUCCGUUUAGGCUAUGGUUAUGUAUAAGAUCGCAGCUGCACUGAAAUGAAUAGCCUGAUUCAAUGUGAUUCUCCUGAAUAAAAAUCUGUUAAACUGUUUGGUCUAUGAAUACCGCUUCUAUACCGCUUCUAUAUUUUGUCUUUUUCUAUAGGCAUAGACUGAACCCACAUGUGGUGCCUGUACGAUACACUGAAUCCACAUGUGGUGCCUGCACGAUACACUGAACCCACACGUGGUGCCUGUACGAUACACUGAACCCACAUGUGGUGCCUGUACGAUACACUGAACCCACACGUGGUGCCUGUACGAUACACUGAACCCACAUGUGGUGCCUGUACGAUACACUGAACCCACAUGUGGUGCCUGUACGAUACACUGAACCCACACGUGGCGCCUGCACGAUACACUGAACCCACACAUGGCCCCUGUACGAUACAACAUUAGAAUAAAAGUUGUACUAAUCAUUAAGGUGGUUCUCAGCAUGACCUUCAACUGCACAAUAUGCAUGAAUUCAAAAACGUUCCGCUGAGUUGGCCCUAGAAAAUGUAGCCUAGAUAGUAUCACUUCUUUUUUUCCCCUUGUGAAACCGGUUCUACUACCAGCAAGUAAAUACACUUCUAUCCACAGUUCUGUGGGAAACACAUUCACCCAAAAGUACCUUUUUACUGAAUUACUGUAGACAUAUAAUUUACAGUUGACUGUAUUUUAACAUCCCCCACAAACCACAUAGUCAUAACAUACGACUAGAUGCAAAUCAUCGAACUGAACAAAUAAAAGAGCAACAGACUUUUAAAUCGUCCCUAACAUUCCCUGUAUACAACUAUACAUGUUGGUUUCACUCUGAGCUCUAGGCCGUUUCCUUCCUCAUUACUCCCCCCCCUUCCUGUUUUCUAUCUCUACAAUCAAUGGAUAAAUGUAUCUUCAAUUCAAUUAAUCUAACAACAAUACAACUAUUCACAGUUUAGCAGAAUUAUUAUGCUGAAUUUGUCAGACUACUCAGACAGAUAGUAAACAGAAUGUAAAUCUAAGCCUGCAAGCAUUGGGUACUUUCCACUCUGCCUAACACCUUUCAGAAAUAAAAUUGCAGGGACUUUCCUAGUCAUAUAACAAACUAGAUGGGUGAAAAGAAAUACCAUAAUGCUUUCACCUGUCUCCUGUUCAGAUCAGUGACAAUGAAAGAAAGCAGAUAGAGGAAGCCACUGUAGACUAUUGAGAUGUACCUCUACAGUACUCUGUGGCUGCCUUGUAAUCAGUCCUGUGUUUCUCUCCCUCAGGAAUGGCAGACUAAGGAGCUCCUCUCACGUAUGACUCCACUGUCUGAUGAAGAAACAGAGCCGCUUGAUGACAUUGGAGCUUCCUCAAGAGGUCAAAGGGCAGACUAACCUCUCAGGCAGUAACAUCCCAGUCUGCUUCAGUGGCCCAGAAAUCAGGAACAAACACAGACUCAGAGAUGGAUAGCCUUCCUCUCCUCUGAGGACCCAGCGAGGGUGGAGCACAGUUUGAGAGCUGUUGAGUGAGAACAAUUCUACAGCCAGAGAGUCAAGAAAUGGAACAGCAAGGCCACAGAACAUGACAUACGCAGAGCUGUGAGAGACCACCUUAUUAAGCAUUUCCCUGGUAGAGCCAGGGGAUGGUGUUUACCACGCCACCACCAAACGCCUUAAACAGGCUUGAAAAGUGGGAUUGAUCUGUUUGAUCCAUUUUAUUUCUUUCAGUUUUCAUUAGUUGAAUCCUUUGACUUAUUGUUGACUUUAAAAAAAACUUUUUUAACAAAAAUGCACUGGAUUGGUUCAAAGGUGAUACUAAACUUACAUAAUUUUGAAACAGAGGAAGAUAUACUGAAUUCAUACAGUUUUUGAUUCUAAGAUGGACCAAAAUAUAUGUUACUUUUGCACAUUUUUGUUCAUUAGUUUUGCAAGAAUGUUGAUUGGUCGGUCAUUGGGUUCAUUAGUUUUGCAAUAUGUUGAUGCCAUUGAUUAAAAGAGUAAGAAUAUGACGCAAUAUCCAAAGCUUGUUUUACUCCAUUAUUUGCAAACAAUAUAAUUGUAAAAAAAAUUGUCAGUUGGUUGCAUAAAUAAUGACGAUUACUAAAUGUUACAUGAAAUAUCAAAACCGAAUUGAAACGCCUUUGUUAAAAUGUAAAUGGCAAAAAUUCACUUAAUGGUAAGGCAUGGAAUAAUAAAUGUAUCCUUUUUCAUGUUGGAUGUUUGAAAUAUGAGCAGGUGAUGAUUUGAGUCAUUCUUCUUCAUUAGUGGAAUAAAGACAAUUAGAACAAAUGUUGUACACAAAUACUGUGUGUAAAUACUGGAUUGAUGUAUGAUUGUUAAUAAAAUGUCCAUAGACCAA
This is a non-coding RNA of Salmo salar (Atlantic salmon), 3194 nucleotides long. Lineage: Eukaryota; Metazoa; Chordata; Actinopteri; Salmoniformes; Salmonidae. The record is from RefSeq and is a predicted model, not a curated record.